This 287-nucleotide ribosomal RNA is filed under the name Amphibromus fluitans. RNAcentral's name for it is "partial 18S ribosomal RNA". It matches the Rfam family "Eukaryotic small subunit ribosomal RNA", at positions 1549 to 1831 of the family's 1831-position model. RNAcentral also lists the same sequence under 4 other names. The record is from RNAcentral. Lineage: Eukaryota; Viridiplantae; Streptophyta; Magnoliopsida; Poales; Poaceae.
AUCUUGGGAAAUUUCAUCGUGAUGGGGAUAGAUCAUUGCAAUUGUUGGUCUUCAACGAGGAAUGCCUAGUAAGCGCGAGUCAUCAGCUCGCGUUGACUACGUCCCUGCCCUUUGUACACACCGCCCGUCGCUCCUACCGAUUGAAUGGUCCGGUGAAGUGUUCGGAUCGCGGCGACGGGGGCGGUUCGCCGCCCCCGACAUCGCGAGAAGUCCAUUGAACCUUAUCAUUUAGAGGAAGGAGAAGUCGUAACAAGGUUUCCGUAGGUGAACCUGCGGAAGGAUCAUUG